UUUCCGUAGGUGAACCUGCGGAAGGAUCAUUAUUGUAUAACCGAGGUGCGAGGGCUGUCGCUGACCCGACAGGUCGUGCACGCCCGAGUGCCCUCACACACAUCCAUCUCACCCCUAUGUGCACCACCGCGUGGGUUCCCCUUUGGCUUGUUCGGAGGGGGGCUUACGUUUUCACACAAACUUUGUAUGCAGUGUAGAAUGUAUUUUUUGUUUUUGCGAUCACGCAAUCAAUACAACUUUCAACAACGGAUCUCUUGGCUCUC
RNAcentral lists this unclassified non-coding RNA (263 nucleotides) under plant metagenome. RNAcentral's name for it is "partial contains small subunit ribosomal RNA, internal transcribed spacer 1, and 5.8S ribosomal RNA". The record is from RNAcentral.